Molecule: long non-coding RNA, 1490 nt
Organism: Helianthus annuus (common sunflower)
Lineage: Eukaryota; Viridiplantae; Streptophyta; Magnoliopsida; Asterales; Asteraceae
Exons: 2
Source: RefSeq, a predicted model, not a curated record
UUUGGGCAGAAUUUCUCUCAAGUGAGAGAGAGAAAUAAGAGAGAGAGAGAGAGAACUAGAGAAAGAGGGGUGGCCGGUGGCGGUAUUUGGCGGCGAUUCGCGGUGGCCGGUGGUGGCCGGAGGUGGUCGGACUUGUGAGAUUCAACCUGGAACCAAUUAUCGAUGCUACGAACGCAAUGAAUGAGAGGAUAGGAAUCACAUUAGCAUGGACUCAAACGCGGAAGGGUACGGGUCAAGAAGAUGCAAGGAAACAAACACGAACACAGACGCUUGAGGUAAGUGACUACCGAACUCACUUAUUAAUUUAUUUAAAUGAAGUUAGAUAUGCUUAUUAUUGGGGAAUCAUAAAAGGAUGAGAAUGUAGUAGUCGUAUGAAAGUAAGAAUGACGGAAUUUGAUCAUAUGUAGUUAAUUAUGUUUGAAAUCAUAUAGAAUAAGCAAACGGGUCACAAAUACGAAAGUGAUUAACCAAGUUGUGAAAAUUGGAUGUUGGCAAAUGAGAAUUAGAAUAGGAAUGAUUUGGGGACUUAGGAAAAUGUUUAUUCAUGUUUUCUCGUUUCUCUUUGUUUCCAAGGCCCGGUUAAACUUCCUAAAGGUACCCCAAGCCGACGAUAGAGUUUUGCGGGGUAGAAGUAAGGACGGAACCCGUACGGGAGCUUGCGCGAAUAUGUAGCAUGUAUGUUGGUGUGUGUAAAUGUGGAUUUCAUUAUGUGUAUGAGUGAUUCUCGUAGGAAGGAUUAUACUUGGAUAUAACACACGUGUGAAUGGACGUAACUAGUACAUAAGCAUGUUUAUAUACGGAAAAUGGUAUGCCUAACAAAGUAUGGUGCUUGAAAGAAAUUAAAUGGAUGUGAUUGUAUGUGUGUAUAUAAAUAAGAAUUCAUAGUAAGUGUAUGUAGUACGAAUUUAUAGGUGUAUACGUGUGUAUGGGAAACGUAAGUAUGUACUCGGAUAUAUGUAUGUGUACGUAUGUGAUGUAAUCUAAUGAAUGUAGAUUAAUAGAAUGUGUUUAUGUGAAGUUAUGGGUUGCUAUAUGUUUAAAGGUACACGUUGCUAAUCAUGUUAUCGUUGAGAAUGAAAUGAAAAGUGCAGGUAUGAUAACGUUGGGUCCAAGUGAAUUGAUGUCAGGAACUAGUGGAUGAGUUUGGAAGGAUGAUCGAACAAGAUAUCUUGCGUCGUUAGAAUGCAAUAUGGUCAUUUAGCUAUGUGUUUAUUAUAUAAGUAUAAUGUCACCAUUUACUAAUGUGUUGGUUGUUUAUGGUGACUGUAGGUUACACUGAUCAUUACCAUUUAUCACGAAGGACAAGGGGGCAAAGAUCGAGUUAUAGAACAUGGAUUGUACGGAAGGAUGGUCACUUAGUUUGUAUUCGCAUGUUAUAUUUGGUACAUUAAUUAAAGAUGAAUGAUGUAAUUCUUUUAAAGGAAUCGUUUUAAAUGGUUUUCAAGUAUGUUAGAUUAUUUAAAAAGAAAGAAAUUUUGAAGUUCAUUUUC